RNAcentral lists this long non-coding RNA (770 nucleotides) under Phoenix dactylifera (date palm). RNAcentral's name for it is "long non-coding RNA (PDAC_LNC018428)". Lineage: Eukaryota; Viridiplantae; Streptophyta; Magnoliopsida; Arecales; Arecaceae. The record is from RNAcentral.
UAUUUUGAAUCAACUUGAAAUUGAGCCUCUAGCUACUCAACUUGGCUCGAUUGCACCCCUCGUUAAAGGAUUGUGGGAUUAUAUGCAUUUUAGGAUCUUGGGCACCCAAAAUCAUCUCAUUUUUUCUUUUAUAUAAAAUUAAGGUUGCGUCUUGAUUGGGUAAUCUCAUGUCUAGACUGGUCCUGACCUAUGGAUCCAAUUUGAAGAGUAAAUUAGUUUUCAAUUUAAAUUUUUUUAUUUGAACUAAUUUGAAGACCGAAUUGGUUCAUCUACUUAAUUUCUACAUCAAAAUAAGAAUAAAAUUAAUAAGAAAGCAAUUCAAAUGCUAGGAGGAUCACCAAACUUGAUGUCGACCACUUUGACCAUUUUAGGUGGGGUUGGAUAGGAUCCAAGAGCGAGAUUUGUCACAUCAGGAAGCCGAAUCGCAUGUUAAAUUUUUGAAGGCCAUAACUUGGUCAUAUGAUGUUCGAUUGAGAUAAUUUUUUCUUUUUACAAAAUUGGAUAACUUUUCGAGAUUUAUGAUGUGCCCAAAAUUCUAUUGUUUGGGCCCGAAAUAGAUUGAUCAAACUAAAAGUCUCCUUUUCAUAAAAGACUUUGACCGAAUAUAUCUCUCAAUCCUAGAAGAAUCAAGCAAAGCGAUAAAAGAUAAAGUUGAUGUAGAAGUUGGAUCUAUCUCCUAUAAAAUUUUAGCUUUUUCAAGUUUAUUUUUACUGGUCAUAUCUAUUUUAGGAAAGUUGAGUCCUAUUUGAAUUGGAAAAUAAAUACAACGG